RNAcentral lists this unclassified non-coding RNA (336 nucleotides) under soil metagenome. RNAcentral describes it as "partial contains 5.8S ribosomal RNA, internal transcribed spacer 2, and large subunit ribosomal RNA". The stretch from base 1 to 120 matches the Rfam family "5.8S ribosomal RNA", at positions 35 to 154 of the family's 154-position model. The record is from RNAcentral.
GAUGAAGAACGUAGCGAAAUGCGAUAAGUAGUGUGAAUUGCAGAAUUCAGUGAAUCAUCGAAUCUUUGAACACACAUUGCGCCCCUUGGUAUUCCAUGGGGCAUGCCUGUUCGAGCGUCAUUUGUACCUUCAAGCUUUGCUUGGUGUUGGGUGUUUGUCUCGCCUUUGCGUGUAGACUCGCCUUAAAAUAAUUGGCAGCCGGCGUAUUGAUUUCGGAGCGCAGUACAUCUCGCGCUUUGCACUCAUAACGACAGCGUCCAAAAGUACAUUUUACACUCUUGACCUCGGAUCAGGUAGGGAUACCCGCUGAACUUAAGCAUAUCAAUAAGCGGAGGA